RNAcentral lists this ribosomal RNA (335 nucleotides) under Frankenbergerius armatus. RNAcentral's name for it is "eukaryotic LSU rRNA". It matches the Rfam family "Eukaryotic large subunit ribosomal RNA", at positions 664 to 965 of the family's 3401-position model. Lineage: Eukaryota; Metazoa; Arthropoda; Insecta; Coleoptera; Scarabaeidae. The record is from RNAcentral.
GACCAAGGAGUCUAGCAUGUGCGCGAGUCAUUGGGACUCUGAUAAACCUAAAGGCGCAAUGAAAGUAAAGGUCCGCCUCGCGCGGACCGAGGGAGGAUGGGUCGGUCCACGGGMCGGCCCCGCACUCCCGGGGCSUCUCGUUCUCAUCGCGAGAAGAGGCGCACCCAGAGCGUACACGCUGGGACCCGAAAGAUGGUGAACUAUGCCUGGUCAGGACGAAGUCAGGGGAAACCCUGAUGGAGGUCCGUAGCGAUUCUGACGUGCAAAUCGAUCGUCGGAACUGGGUAUAGGGGCGAAAGACUAAUCGAACCAUCUAGUACGUGGUUCCUUCCGAA